RNAcentral lists this transfer RNA (49 nucleotides) under Mammut americanum (American mastodon). RNAcentral describes it as "partial tRNA-Lys". The record is from RNAcentral. Lineage: Eukaryota; Metazoa; Chordata; Mammalia; Proboscidea; Mammutidae.
CACUAACCUUUUAAGUUAGAGUAUGGGAACAUAAUAUUCUCCUUAAUGA